GCCAGGUGCAGUGGUGCAUGCCUGUAAUCCCAGCUACUCAGAAGGCUGAGGCAGGAGGAUCACAAGUUUGAGGUCAGCCCCAGCAACUUAGUGAGAUCUUGUUUCAA
RNAcentral lists this small RNA (107 nucleotides) under Marmota monax (woodchuck). The record is from RNAcentral. Lineage: Eukaryota; Metazoa; Chordata; Mammalia; Rodentia; Sciuridae.